Molecule: ribosomal RNA, 465 nt
Filed under: uncultured bacterium
Lineage: Bacteria
Description: partial 16S ribosomal RNA
Rfam family: Bacterial small subunit ribosomal RNA
Source: RNAcentral
GAUGAACGCUGGCGGCGUGCUUAACACAUGCAAGUCGAACGGAAAGGCUCCUGCUUGCAGGGGUACUCGAGUGGCGAACGGGUGAGUAACACGUGGGUGAUCUGCCCUGCACUUCGGGAUAAGCCUGGGAAACUGGGUCUAAUACCGGAUAGGACCACAUUUUGGAUGGUGUGGUGGAAAGUUUUUCGGUGUGGGAUGAGCUCGCGGCCUAUCAGCUUGUUGGUGGGGUAAUGGCCUACCAAGGCGUCGACGGGUAGCCGGCCUGGGAGGGUGUACGGCCACAUUGGGACUGAGAUACGGCCCAGACUCCUACGGGAGGCAGCAGUGGGGAAUAUUGCACAAUGGGCGCAAGCCUGAUGCAGCGACGCCGCGUGGGGGAUGACGGCCUUCGGGUUGUAAACUCCUUUCGCUAGGGACGAAGCGCAAGUGACGGUACCUGGAGAAGAAGCACCGGCUAACUACGUG